This 483-nucleotide ribosomal RNA is filed under the name Fusarium solani. Its description in RNAcentral is "eukaryotic LSU rRNA". It matches the Rfam family "Eukaryotic large subunit ribosomal RNA", at positions 66 to 559 of the family's 3401-position model. Lineage: Eukaryota; Fungi; Ascomycota; Sordariomycetes; Hypocreales; Nectriaceae. The record is from RNAcentral.
CAACAGGGAUUGCCCCAGUAACGGCGAGUGAAGCGGCAACAGCUCAAAUUUGAAAUCUGGCUCUCGGGCCCGAGUUGUAAUUUGUAGAGGAUGCUUUUGGUGAGGUGCCUUCCGAGUUCCCUGGAACGGGACGCCAUAGAGGGUGAGAGCCCCGUCUGGUUGGACACCGAUCCUCUGUAAAGCUCCUUCGACGAGUCGAGUAGUUUGGGAAUGCUGCUCUAAAUGGGAGGUAUAUGUCUUCUAAAGCUAAAUACCGGCCAGAGACCGAUAGCGCACAAGUAGAGUGAUCGAAAGAUGAAAAGAACUUUGAAAAGAGAGUUAAACAGUACGUGAAAUUGUUGAAAGGGAAGCGCUUGUGACCAGACCUUGGGCUUGGUUGAUCAUCCGGGGUUCUCCCCGGUGCACUCUUCCGGCUCAGGCCAGCAUCAGUUCGCCCUGGGGGACAAAGGCUUCGGGAAUGUGGCUCUCUCCGGGGAGUGUUAU